AGGGGUGGAGCAUGGAUGCAGCUCUCCUAAGAACUGACUACCAGGAGGGAAGGAUCUCUUUUAGAGAUUGCUCCUCUUGGAGUUUUCUCAGUGAGCCCAGGACAAAGAUGCCCUUCUGCUGCUUUUUGCUGUUGGAGAUGAGGGUGGCAGUGGCCUUCACACCAAGCAUGGAAGGUCCAAUCUGUAUUCAUGAGCUGGUGAGCAGCCUGUGAGGAUGUCACUUUAUGAAACCAACUGCUUCCCCAUCAGCACAGUUCCAUGCAAUUCAUAGCCCAGAACAAACACAUCCAAGGUAUCUGGACCUGUAUCUACUGAAUGCUUUGUCUUUGAGGGGCUGGAAGCUGUUCGUGCAGCCUCCUUUGUUUGUGUGCUCGUAGGAAUAGAGGUCAGCUCUUCUGCCCUGGAUUGUAUGGCAAUAAAGUUCACGUUACAGCUAAAUUCCAGAUACACAGAAACUAUUGUCUCCAGGAGACACUGUCCAUCCCAUCUCCUUGAAAGCCAAAAGACUACAUCUGGAAGUAUUUCAUCUUCAGAAGAGUCUGCCUCCCACAAGAAUACGUCUAUUUGGAGCUAUGAAAAGGUAGUUAUUUGUUAGUGUUUCCUAGCAAUGGCGUAAGUAUCUAAAGGAAGAGCGCUGAAGAAUUGUGUUCCACAAAGAGGUAUCAAGAGGGUAUCUCACCGCUCUCCUCUAGUGGAGGAAAUGCAGUGUAAAACUGCAAAGCGUUGCCAGUACUGAGCUGUAAUCAAGCUCUCACCAUCCGUGUGAUUCAAGGUGUCUCCUGGUGCUCACACUUCCUGGGAAUGGCUCAGGCUGCUCUACAAGCUAGAACAGCUCGCAGACUUGUGAUGCCCAAGGGCUGGCAAUGGCCUGGCAGUGGCUCAUCAGGAGGGGAGGAAAACAUCACCGCGUUCAUGUUCCUUUUGUUCAGAUGCUGCACCAGCAGAGUGGCUUCUGCUGUGCAUGAUCUCCACGGUGUGUGAUCUUUACAUGGAAAUGAUGCUCCUUGUGCUGCUCAUGGGUCCUUUCCAAGUCCUGUGAAGCACAAAGGCUGAAGGUGGCUGCUGCAGCACACAGGAGUGUAGGAAACCUGAUUUUCUCCGAGCCAAUGCAGAUAGGCUUGUCCUUCUGCCUGGAUUCCCUUGCAGCAUCACUUGCUUGAAACCUUUAAUGUUUUGCCCUCCGUCGAUUGCCAGGCAGCUACCCAUGUGCAGCUGUUGCAUUUGUCACAGGCACGGGCCCUGUGUAUCCUCUUGGCUUGGAGGAGGCAGGGAGCACAGUGGGGGCUGAGCACAGAGCCAGCUCCUGGCCACUACCUCCUGCAGGGCCUGGGGUGUCCCAUAUGGCUGAGAGCUGUUCUCCAUCACCACGAGCACUGCGCUCACCUGGCUCACAGGCAGUAGUCCCAAAGCUGGCACGCUGUUGUUGGCAAGGCUCCACCAUCUCACACUUGCUGCAUUUUUUUUCCCUUGGCACAUAUACGUAUCUGUAAUAUGGCAUAUGUUUCUUUUUUUCAUUUGAUAACAAGAGACAUCAGAAGUAGUAUAUUGAUUUAUUGCCUACAGAAUAUGGCUGCAAGAUCCCACUGAAUCUACUAAGUCCAUAGCUCCAGCCCCUUCAUGAAUUGCAAAUGGAGAAGGCUGGGGAUUCUCAGCGUCCCCCAUCUCCAGCCACAGAGUUAAUGCAAUAAUUUGUGUCACAUCUGGAAGGCAGCACCACCUCUGCCAGAGCCUGUACCCACAGAAAAAAAAAAAAAAGAAAAAAAAAAGUGAGGAAAGGCAAAGAAAACUUAGGGCUGAAAGAGAAGUGAAAUGGGGGGAGAUGGAAAGACUGCAGCCUGGCAGACAGAGCAGUGGGUUCUGACUGCAUCUUACAGAAGAGGUUUGGACCUCUGUUUCUUCAGCCAGGAUCAGCUGGGCUCCAUGGGCUUUGUACUGCUUAGUGGUGCUGGAAGCCGGAGUUCUUUGCAGUGCCCUCAGCCCGGAUUGCAGCUCAUCUCUGCAGCACAGCUCUGACCUGUCCCUGCCAGCUCAGCCCACAGCAGUGCUCCCUCCGGUUGGGACCUCACAGUGUUUCAGCAGCAGUUGAGGAAUUCUGCUUUCAUACUCUGCUCUCAGCUCCUUUAUUGCUUUAACAGACUUUAAGUAAUCAGCCUGAAAUUUUCUCCAAAACAUUCCAGCUGCUCAAAAAAAAAAAAGGGGGAAUAGAGGGUAAAAUUUCUUCAUAUUCCUCAUUUGAAAAGUAAGGCAACGGUGUGCUUUGCUGUGAAAAGUCCAGAUUUCAAAUCCUGAUGUGAGCUUCAAUUUGUGUUGGGGUGCAGCUGCACUGCAUGUGAAAGCACUUAGCAAGGGGGGAAUCCUUCUUUUGGGGGUGACUUCCAACUGGAAAUGCUUGGCAAUGGUGGAACAGCUGCCAUCGCUUCUUCAGGAAGCUGAGCACAUCGGUUGUGAGCUGGUGAAUUCAAUAUCAUAGAUCUUAUUAAAAACACAGUCAGUGGAUGGAGCUGACCAGAAAUUGUUGCCUGCAGGAGCAGGCUGACAGCAGCAGGCAGAGCCCAACUGCUUAAGGGGACCCAGCCCGGCUGCUGGGCAGCGACUCGUAUUAUUUUGCUUUUGGAUUACGGGACUCUUUAAUUAAAGGUCUUGACUUUAUAAUCCAAUCAAUCUAGAUAAAUAACAACUCUCUUUUGCAGAUAAAGUUGUCGGCUUAUCGCUGCCCAACAGCCAUAUUUUAAAGACGAGCCGUAAAAUUACCCAGCAAAUCAGCUUACAUCACAUCUGGUGGCCGCAGCUGCGUGCAGGCAGAGCUCUGUGUGCUGACAGCCACAUUUCAGUGCCACCCUGGGCACGUGUCCUACUCCACCACCAACUCACUGCUUCCUCAGCACUGUUACGCUCUGCUACUCGUCCCAUUCAUCCCACAAACCCUCAGAGUUGUUGUAAUUGUAAUGGGGAGGUUACAGUGCCGGAGGAUGAAAUGUAAUGCAAUUAGUAGAGUAUUUUACCCAUUUUUCACCUUUUCCUGCCAAAUAGCUUUGUUCUAAUGAAGGGUAUCAAACAAGCAUUUCAUUGUGAUUUAAUUGAGCGGUUCCUUGUGACACGCAGACAUCAAUGAACAGUUAUGGGAAUGCUUUUUAGGGAUCAGUGGAGAAGGCAGCAUGCUGGAUUAGCAUACAAAUCUGCAAGGGAUGGAUUGUGCCAGUCUCGCCUCAAAUACCUGCUUGUCUGUAAGAGCAUUGGUAUGCCCUGCAUCCCUCAGCCUGUAUAAAAUACAGCAGCACAGGUGAUAACACAGCCUUUCCUUCAGCUUUCUGAGACCCACAGUUACACAGGAGCAAUAAGGACAGGAGCCACAUUGCUGAAACACUGAAGCUAUUUGCCCACUGUAAUGCAGAGAGCUUGGGACUGACCCCAGCCCUCAUUUUCACUCUUGCUUAUGAGCAGCCCUUUUGCCACACCUUGGGAAAUUGCAUCUCAGUACAGUUUCGUGAUGGCGUUGGCAGAGAUGGAAGCAGGGGUGAGUCGGGCAGCCACUAGGGCUGAGGAUGAAGCUCUGCAGGGUAUUGGCAGAGCUGAGACAAAAUGCCUGUACAGACCCAUGUGGGCUAAACUUGCCCCUGGAUAGCACUGCUGUCUCAUUUCCUGGAAUGUAUUACCUAGGCUUAGCUGACAAAAAUAAACAGAGGGGAAAAAAAGACUAUUCUGUAAUGCAAUCACACUUCAAUUGCCCAUUUGUUUUUGUCCUUUAAAAGAGCUAAUAACAAGGUAAUUGGUGGAGAUAUCUCCUGGGCUCCAUCAGUGAAAGCAAGAGGGAGAUUUUCCCAACAUGAAAUAGAAGAGAGGCACAUUUUUCUAGAGAAGAAAGCAAGGUAUUACCCAAAUUAAAGGAAUCCAUAUCGAUUUCUACCUCAUGUCCAAGCAAGUGAAACCUUGUUCCUUUGAGCGUUGGCUUUUAAUCGCUCUGAAGCUGCCUGACAAAACAUCCCUGGUAUUUGCUUCUUGGCAAGGAGGGCUGUGAGCCCACAGCAAUGCAGCAAGGGCCAAACCUGCGUGGAAAUACUUUCCCCACUGUGGUUCUGCUCCCACCUUUUCUGGCUCUGCCCUGUGCCUCUCCCAGCUGAGGGACUCCAAAGGAACUGCAGAUGCAAGGGCAGCAUCCAGAGAGUGGUGGUGAGGUGCCACAUUCCAGCAAGUGCCCUCAGAGGGCUUUUUUUUCUUUUACAUACACAUGUUUUUCAUAGUUUGAGAAAAGCAGCAGUGCCACAGGCCACCCCCUAGGUGCCUGAGCCAUCCUCCUGCUUAUUGCCAUGUAGUACCUGUGCCAGGAAGACCCUGGGGCACAAAGGAAGCAUAAACUUUCAGUCCUCCGUUACCUUGCACGUUAAUUAAUAUUAUUAAGAUCCUGCUCCAUGCUGCUUUUAUCCUUUGCAAAGUACUUAGGAUUUCUUUAAGAUCCAGGAGCUGUAUAGGAGCAAAUUAUCAUUUUAUUGAAGUGAUUGGCUUUAUCCCAAAGCAGGUUCUUA
This is a long non-coding RNA of Lagopus muta (rock ptarmigan), 4520 nucleotides long. RefSeq lists it as uncharacterized. The record is from RefSeq and is a predicted model, not a curated record. The transcript has 3 exons. Lineage: Eukaryota; Metazoa; Chordata; Aves; Galliformes; Phasianidae.